AAAUGUCCGUGGAACCGGCCCCACUAACCUGCAUCCAGCUGCCUCUUCCACCUGGGCCCUGCUCUCAGAUGGAAGUGUCACCAAACACCCAGAUCGCCGUGCUCCUGCUUCUCUGGGUAAGCACUUACAGAGGCUACACAGGUGCUUGCCAGGUUACGUUAGGCUGUGCCUUCUUUCCUUGUGGCCCAUGCACAGGCCUCUGGCCAGCUCUGUCCGGGUGGCAGCUCUCCUGGUGUCCGGCAAGCUUCCUCUGCUCGGACUCUGCCAGUCAAAGCCCAGCCCUGGCUCCUGGAGUCUGCAGUGCAAGUGGCCUCAGAAGCCCAGCCUCCCUCUGCAGCUGAACCCUGCAGCCCUUGUGUGAGAUGAAGUGAAGGAUGAAUAUUAUCCCAGGCUAAAGUAACGAAAAGUCCAGAAGCCAGCGAUGACAGAGAUGUGUGUGGAAGAAGGCUGUGAGCAUUUCCAUCAAACCCUGUGAGUUUCCGAAGAUCUUAUCCCGAAGAUAUGUGUUUGGCCAAUAAAACACUGAAUAAAAAUCCAUCAUGUUUCCA
This 548-nucleotide long non-coding RNA is filed under the name Homo sapiens (human). RNAcentral describes it as "long intergenic non-protein coding RNA 2765". The record is from RNAcentral. Lineage: Eukaryota; Metazoa; Chordata; Mammalia; Primates; Hominidae.